RNAcentral lists this ribosomal RNA (253 nucleotides) under uncultured bacterium. Its description in RNAcentral is "partial 16S ribosomal RNA". It matches the Rfam family "Bacterial small subunit ribosomal RNA", at positions 524 to 776 of the family's 1533-position model. The record is from RNAcentral.
GACGUAGGGCGCGAGCGUUGUCCGGAUUUAUUGGGCGUAAAGAGCUCGUAGGCGGCUCGUCGCGUCGACCGUGAAAACCCGCGGCUUAACUGCGGGCUUGCGGUUGAUACGGGCGGGCUAGAGUUCGGUAGGGGAGACUGGAAUUCCUGGUGUAGCGGUGAAAUGCGCAGAUAUCAGGAGGAACACCGGUGGCGAAGGCGGCAUCCUGGACCGACACUGACGCUGAGGCGCGAAAGCUAGGGGAGCAAACGGG